AGUCGAGCGGAUGAGUGGAGCUUGCUCCAUGAUUCAGCGGCGGACGGGUGAGUAAUGCCUAGGAAUCUGCCUGGUAGUGGGGGACAACGUUUCGAAAGGAACGCUAAUACCGCAUACGUCCUACGGGAGAAAGUGGGGGAUCUUCGGACCUCACGCUAUCAGAUGAGCCUAGGUCGGAUUAGCUAGUUGGUGAGGUAAAGGCUCACCAAGGCGACGAUCCGUAACUGGUCUGAGAGGAUGAUCAGUCACACUGGAACUGAGACACGGUCCAGACUCCUACGGGAGGCAGCAGUGGGGAAUAUUGGACAAUGGGCGAAAGCCUGAUCCAGCCAUGCCGCGUGUGUGAAGAAGGUCUUCGGAUUGUAAAGCACUUUAAGUUGGGAGGAAGGGCAGUAAGUUAAUACCUUGCUGUUUUGACGUUACCGACAGAAUAAGCACCGGCUAACUUCGUGCCAGCAGCCGCGGUAAUACGAAGGGUGCAAGCGUUAAUCGGAAUUACUGGGCGUAAAGCGCGCGUAGGUGGUUCGUUAAGUUGGAUGUGAAAGCCCCGGGCUCAACCUGGGAACUGCAUCCAAAACUGGCGAGCUAGAGUAUGGCAGAGGGUGGUGGAAUUUCCUGUGUAGCGGUGAAAUGCGUAGAUAUAGGAAGGAACACCAGUGGCGAAGGCGACCACCUGGGCUAAUACUGACACUGAGGUGCGAAAGCGUGGGGAGCAAACAGGAUUAGAUACCCUGGUAGUCCACGCCGUAAACGAUGUCGACUAGCCGUUGGGAUCCUUGAGAUCUUAGUGGCGCAGCUAACGCAUUAAGUCGACCGCCUGGGGAGUACGGCCGCAAGGUUAAAACUCAAAUGAAUUGACGGGGGCCCGCACAAGCGGUGGGCAUGUGGUUUAAUUUCGAAGCAACGCGAAGAACCUUACCAGGCCUUGACNUGCAGAGAACUUUCCAGAGAUGGGAUUGGNGCCUUUCGG
This 970-nucleotide ribosomal RNA is filed under the name Stutzerimonas stutzeri. RNAcentral's name for it is "bacterial SSU rRNA". It matches the Rfam family "Bacterial small subunit ribosomal RNA", at positions 60 to 1024 of the family's 1533-position model. The record is from RNAcentral. Lineage: Bacteria; Pseudomonadati; Pseudomonadota; Gammaproteobacteria; Pseudomonadales; Pseudomonadaceae.